Long non-coding RNA from Notolabrus celidotus (New Zealand spotty), 711 nucleotides. RefSeq lists it as uncharacterized. Lineage: Eukaryota; Metazoa; Chordata; Actinopteri; Labriformes; Labridae. The record is from RefSeq and is a predicted model, not a curated record. The transcript has 4 exons.
AGGGCCUGAAAUAUUGAUAACCCCAGGCGAGGGCCACCUCCAGCACACUCUGCAGGGGGUCCAGACCAGGACCAUCAGAGAAGGUGAUCUGGAGCUUCAUAAACCUGGAGACUGUAUGGAGUGACCUUGUCAAAGAGACCCAGAAGAAUCGCCAUGGAGACAGCAUCCAGCGAGCUUACUGUGGAGGUGUGAUUGGAGGAGAGCAACUUUGUAUUUCAGCUCCAUCAGGGGUAAAGAGUGUAAGAAGGCACUCAACGGACUCAAGGUCAAGAUGAGAGACCCACGGAGUGGAAUAGGAAAUGGGGACAGGGUAAGAGGGACAGGAGUGCAAGCAGAGGUGAGAGCAAUAUAACUUGAGACAUUCAGAGAGAGAGAGGGAGUUGUAAAGUUGAACUCAAGGACAUAUUGUUGCACUUGUUACCUCUUGGAUUGACCAGCAGAAUGAGCUUUUUACGUUACAAAUGUAGCACAGUUACACAUCUCAUAGCUGCACUCUUUCUACACACAUGUAAACUCACACAGACACAUUUGCACACUUCAGAGCACGAUGCAAUCCUCCCAAUCCAAUUAAUACAGUAAAAUCCUGAGAACAUUGCUUUCACUUUUUAAUGAGUCUAUUUGAAUUUCAGAACAGCAAAGUGUAAUUUGUGCAACUGUGUGCAUUUGUUGACCCCUGAAAAGUGUGUGUGCUGUAAGGAUUUGUUUACCCUG